GACGAACGCUGGCGGCGUGCUUAACACAUGCAAGUCGAACGGAAAGGCCCUGCUUUUGUGGGGUGCUCGAGUGGCGAACGGGUGAGUAACACGUGAGUAACCUGCCCUUGACUUCGGGAUAACUUCAGGAAACUGGGGCUAAUACCGGAUAGGAGCUCCUGCUGCAUGGUGGGGGUUGGAAAGUUUCGGCGGUUGGGGAUGGACUUGCGGCUUAUCAGCUUGUUGGUGGGGUAGUGGCUUACCAAGGCUUUGACGGGUAGCCGGCCUGAGAGGGUGACCGGCCACAUUGGGACUGAGAUACGGCCCAGACUCCUACGGGAGGCAGCAGUGGGGAAUAUUGCACAAUGGGCGGAAGCCUGAUGCAGCAACGCCGCGUGCGGGAUGACGGCCUUCGGGUUGUAAACCGCUUUCGCCUGUGACGAAGCGUGAGUGACGGUAAUGGGUAAAGAAGCACCGGCUAACUACGUGCCAGCAGCCGCGGUGAUACGUAGGGUGCGAGCGUUGUCCGGAUUUAUUGGGCGUAAAGGGCUCGUAGGUGGUUGAUCGCGUCGGAAGUGUAAUCUUGGGGCUUAACCCUGAGCGUGCUUUCGAUACGGGUUGACUUGAGGAAGGUAGGGGAGAAUGGAAUUCCUGGUGGAGCGGUGGAAUGCGCAGAUAUCAGGAGGAACACCAGUGGCGAAGGCGGUUCUCUGGGCCUUUCCUGACGCUGAGGAGCGAAAGCGUGGGGAGCGAACAGGCUUAGAUACCCUGGUAGUCCACGCUGUAAACGGUGGGUACUAGGUGUGGGGUCCAUUCCACGGGUUCCGUGCCGUAGCUAACGCUUUAAGUACCCCGCCUGGGGAGUACGGCCGCAAGGCUAAAACUCAAAGGAAUUGACGGGGCCCCGCACAAGCGGCGGAGCAUGCGGAUUAAUUCGAUGCAACGCGUAGAACCUUACCUGGGUUUGACAUGGAUCGGGAGUGCUCAGAGAUGGGUGUGCCUCUUUCGGGGUCGGUUCACAGGUGGUGCAUGGCUGUCGUCAGCUCGUGUCGUGAGAUGUUGGGUUAAGUCCCGCAACGAGCGCAACCCUUGUUCACUGUUGCCAGCACGUUAUGGUGGGGACUCAGUGGAGACCGCCGGGGCCAACUCGGAGGAAGGUGGGGAUGACGUCAAGUCAUCAUGCCCCUUAUGUCCAGGGCUUCACGCAUGCUACAAUGGCUGGUACAGAGAGUGGCGAGCCUGUGAGGGUGAGCGAAUCUCGGAAAGCCGGUCUCAGUUCGGAUUGGGGUCUGCAACUCGACCUCAUGAAGUCGGAGUCGCUAGUAAUCGCAGAUCAGCAACGCUGCGGUGAAUACGUUCCCGGGGCU
Molecule: ribosomal RNA, 1346 nt
Filed under: uncultured bacterium
Lineage: Bacteria
Description: partial 16S ribosomal RNA
Rfam family: Bacterial small subunit ribosomal RNA
Source: RNAcentral